AGAGUUUGAUCCUGGCUCAGGAUGAACGCUGGCGGCGUGCUUAACACAUGCAAGUCGAACGAACCUUCGGGUUAGUGGCGGACGGGUGAGUAACGCGUGGGAAUCUGCCCUCAGGAGGGGGAUAACGGCUGGAAACGGCCGCUAAUACCCCAUAUGCCGAGAGGUGAAAAGAAAUUCGCCUGAGGAUGAGCCCGCGUCUGAUUAGCUAGUUGGUGGGGUAAGAGCUCACCAAGGCGACGAUCAGUAGCUGGUCUGAGAGGAUGAUCAGCCACACUGGGACUGAGACACGGCCCAGACUCCUACGGGAGGCAGCAGUGGGGAAUUUUCCGCAAUGGGCGAAAGCCUGACGGAGCAACGCCGCGUGAGGGAUGAAGGCCUCUGGGCUGUAAACCUCUUUUCUCAAGGAAGAAGACAUGACGGUACUUGAGGAAUAAGCCACGGCUAAUUCCGUGCCAGCAGCCGCGGUAAUACGGGAGUGGCAAGCGUUAUCCGGAAUUAUUGGGCGUAAAGCGUCCGCAGGCGGCCCUGUAAGUCUGUCGUUAAAGCGUGGAGCUUAACUCCAUUUAAGCGAUGGAAACUACAGGGCUUGAGUGUGGUAGGGGCAGAGGGAAUUCCCGGUGUAGCGGUGAAAUGCGUAGAUAUCGGGAAGAACACCAGUGGCGAAGGCGCUCUGCUGGGCCAUAACUGACGCUCAUGGACGAAAGCCAGGGGAGCGAAAGGGAUUAGAUACCCCUGUAGUCCUGGCCGUAAACGAUGAACACUAGGUGUCGGGGGAAUCGACCCCCUCGGUGUCGUAGCCAACGCGUUAAGUGUUCCGCCUGGGGAGUACGCACGCAAGUGUGAAACUCAAAGGAAUUGACGGGGGCCCGCACAAGCGGUGGAGUAUGUGGUUUAAUUCGAUGCAACGCGAAGAACCUUACCAGGGUUUGACAUCCUGCGAAUCCCUUGGAAACGAGGGAGUGCCUUCGGGAGCGCAGAGACAGGUGGUGCAUGGCUGUCGUCAGCUCGUGUCGUGAGAUGUUGGGUUAAGUCCCGCAACGAGCGCAACCCACGUCUUUAGUUGCCAGCAUUCAGUUGGCACUCUAGAGAGACCGCCGGUGAUAAACCGGAGGAAGGUGUGGAUGACGUCAAGUCAUCAUGCCCCUUACAUCCUGGGCUACACACGUACUACAAUGCUACGGACAAAGGGCAGCAAGCUCGCGAGAGUUAGCAAAUCCCAUAAACCGUGGCUCAGUUCAGAUCGUAGGCUGCAACUCGCCUACGUGAAGGAGGAAUCGCUAGUAAUCGCAGGUCAGCAUACUGCGGUGAAUACGUUCCCGGGCCUUGUACACACCGCCCGUCACACCAUGGAAGUUGGCCAUGCCCGAAGUCGUUACUCCAACUC
RNAcentral lists this ribosomal RNA (1384 nucleotides) under metagenome. Its description in RNAcentral is "bacterial SSU rRNA". It matches the Rfam family "Bacterial small subunit ribosomal RNA". The record is from RNAcentral.